GACGAACGCUGGCGGCGUGCUUAACACAUGCAAGUCGAACGAAAGGCCCCUUUUGGGGGGUACUCGAGUGGCGAACGGGUGAGUAACACGGGAGUAACCUGGCCUUUAAUUUGGGAUAAAUUUAGGAAAACGGGGCUAAUACCGGAAAGGAGCUCCCGCUGCAUGGUGGGGGGUGGAAAGUUUCGGCGGUUGGGGAUGGACUCGCGGCUUAUCAGCUUGUUGGUGGGGUAGUGGCUUACCAAGGCUUUGACGGGUAGCCGGCCUGAGAGGGUGACCGGCCACAUUGGGACUGAGAUACGGCCCAGACUCCUACGGGAGGCAGCAGUGGGGAAUAUUGCACAAUGGGUGGAAGCCUGAUGCAGCAACGCCGUGUGCGGGAUGACGGCCUUCGGGUUGUAAACCGCUUUCGCUCAUGACGAAGCUUUGUGUGACGGUAGUGGGUAAAGAAGCACCGGCUAACUACGUG
Molecule: ribosomal RNA, 466 nt
Filed under: uncultured bacterium
Lineage: Bacteria
Description: partial 16S ribosomal RNA
Rfam family: Bacterial small subunit ribosomal RNA
Source: RNAcentral